RNAcentral lists this small nuclear RNA (139 nucleotides) under Aotus nancymaae (Ma's night monkey). RNAcentral's name for it is "U4 spliceosomal RNA (ENSANAG00000010858.1)". It matches the Rfam family "U4 spliceosomal RNA". From Rfam's summary of the family: U4 small nuclear RNA (U4 snRNA) is a component of the major U2-dependent spliceosome. The structure of U4 snRNA from yeast and human has been reported. The record is from Rfam by way of RNAcentral. Lineage: Eukaryota; Metazoa; Chordata; Mammalia; Primates; Aotidae.
AGCUUUGCACAGUGGAAGUAUUGUAGCCAAUGAGGUUUAUCUUACACUCGAUUAUUGCUAAUUGAAAAUUUUCCCAAUACCCGCUGUGAAUGACUUAAAAUACAAUCAGCAUUGGCAAUUUUGACAUUCUCUAUGGAGA